Molecule: long non-coding RNA, 8018 nt
Filed under: Homo sapiens (human)
Lineage: Eukaryota; Metazoa; Chordata; Mammalia; Primates; Hominidae
Description: non-protein coding CNTFR-AS1:14
Source: RNAcentral
GAGGGUGGCAGAGCCCAGCCACCAGGGUCUGCUCCAUGCCUGGUCCCUGGAGAGGCCCUCACCCUCUCUGCUUUCACCCAACCCGACUGACACGGAGUAGGAGGUGGGAAUCAUGCAGGCAGGGAGCUUAGGAAGCCUGGUUCAAGCACACACCUACACUUGAUGGCAGGGAAAUAAUUAUUUCCUGCAGAAUGGGCUGCAAAUGUAACAAACCCCCUGACCUUCAGUCUGAAGAGAGAGAACUAUCAACCACACAGAAGCAAAGAUCCAGAGAAAUACUGAGGGAUGCUACCAGACACUCAACCAGGGCCACUCUCCGAGAUUCCAGCCAGCCACACAGCAAAGAUGCUGGCCGGGGACACUGCCCCAAACCACCAGACAGAACCCCAAAGAAACAGCUCCACACACAGUGGAAGAUACACCAGAGACUGUUAGAAGGACCAUCAGACAAAGCCAAAGAGACAGGUAGAUGAAACCAGAUAACCAGCCAGAGAGGUGGUCAGAGAACAGCGACACAAUCAAAGGACCCACCAGAAACACUGUAAAGGACUCAGCUAGACCCAGGCAGAUACACUGCCGAAGGACGAGCAAGGAGCACAGGCAGUGAAGCCGUCGGCGACAAAGCCAGAGAGCUAAGACACUGUCAGAAACAGUGCCAGAGAAACCGUCUGACACACAAGCAGAGAAAUACCAGAGAAACUGAUAGACGCAAACAGGCGUACACCCAGAAAAACAGCUUGAGAGAAGAGCCAGAGCCACAGCCAGAUGCUCAGUCAGGAAGUAUCCACACCACUCCAAACACUGCCAGAGACACUGUCAGACACACAGUCAGACACACUGCCAGAGACACCGUUAUAAAGACUGCCAGAGAAACAGCCAGACACACAGCCAGAAAAACUGACAGAGACGCAGUGCCAGAUAUACCCCGAGAAAGUGCCAGAGACUCAGCUCCAGACAGUGCAGACAUAGCAUAACAGAGACAAAUGUGGGUAUCAGCCUGAAGCAGCUGCGGAGAGGCUGGAGAGCAAUGAACUUCCUGGGGCUUCCUGUGGGAGAGGGCUCCUGCCUGCCUUUUGCUACCCUUGACCCUCUCCAGGAAAGUCCCCUCCUCUGAGCCUGCUUUUCCUUUCCUCCCUGUCACAGCCACAGGUGCCCUGACUGCCCCUCCCUGGCACAGUAAAUCUCUCUGUGUCCUAAGUGGCCCCAGCUACCCUUUGCGCAUCAGUGACUCCUGGAGCCUUAGCUACCACUUGGCCUGGCUCCUUCUGACCCUCAGCCCCUCACCACUCUUCAGCUACUCCUCAGGCCUAGGAGGUUAAGACAAUGGCCAAAGUUACACAGCCAGCAAGCCGUGCAGCCAGGAAAUGAACCCAGGACUGCCUGAAUUCAGAGCUGGUGUAAGAGAGAGAAAACGAGACCAGCAGCCAGAGGCCUACCUGGUUCCCCAACCUCAGCCCUGGCCAGUCGCCCUCACACCCUCCCCCACUGCCUCUGCCAUCUGUCCAUGUCUUUCUCCUCACAGCCAGGAAGAUCCUCCGCCUCAGUGCCAGGCCACUGCCCACCACAUGGGAGCAGGAACCAGGGCAUGGGCAGGCAGAAGAGCAGGCGGAGUGGCUGAGGUUAGAUCCAAGGAUGGGAGUGUUCAGGGAGAGGAGGAAUGGGUGGCCUCUACUCCCAGCUCCUUCCUGGUCCACACAAGCACACACUCCCACGUGCAUGCGUGCACGCGUGCGCAUACACACACACACACACACACACACACACUCAGGCCCCCGCGGGGGGAGGGGUGGCUUCUUCAUCAAAGUCGCCUCCAUCAGCCUGAUGAGUUACUGUAAGGGCCGGGCCCUGGGCCAACGGGGCUGCAGCCACGGGAGACGGGUGCUGCUGAGAGUGAGUGCUGCAGAGUGGGGAUGGGGUGCCAAGACAGACACUGCAGGGUUGGGGGCACCCAGAAAAGGGAGAGACUCAGGGAGGAGAGACAAGAGGGAGGGAGAGAGGAGGAGCUCUGAGUGGAGACCCAGAGGGACAAGGAGAGGCUGAGAUAGGAAGAAAUAGAAGAGACGCAGGGGAAAAGAUGGGGCAUAUAGGAGAUGGGCAGAGACUCAAGGGCAGAGGGAGAGACAGAUCCAGAGAGAAGAGAGGAGACCCCUGGCAGGGUCUCUGCCCACCCUAGAGCAUCUCCGUGGCCUGCCCAGCUCCUCUAGCACAAUGGAGGAUGGGAUGGUGGUCAAUGCAAUGUGAGGCAAGAACAGGGCCUUCCUGGAGGCUGGAAGGAUUCUUGCUGGGGAUCUAGGACCCCAACCCCUAGGGUACAAGGGUAAAACCCCAUCUCUGCCCCUGCCCCUGCCCCUGCCCUGCCCCUGCAGAUCCAGAAAGCCCCAGGCCAGUUUCACUUCCCCCUUUCCUCAGACUCCCAACUGGGCCCAAUGCCCAGUUUGGGAGGCUGAAGCCAGAGGCAUCCAGGACACACCUCCAUCCUGCCCUGGCUCACUCCAGGCCACCCAUCCCAGGGCAAAGAGCAUCUUUCCUGGGAAUUUUCCAAGUCCACACCCCAUGGCUCUGAGAUAGAUGUGCAGGAUAAAUCCCAUAGAGCCCCAGAUAAGGGCUCUGCAAAUUAGCCCAGGAUUCCUCUCAGCCCCUCAAAGAGGUCAGCCCCAGAAUGAGGAGGGAACAGAGGGGGUACCCCAUAAGCAAGGAAGGAGCCUAGCGCCCAAAAGCCCCUGAGCCCCUUGUCAGCACAAGGGUCCCUGCACCUCUCCCAGCACAGAACCCUAGUGUCAUCAUUACUCCCACACAGGUAACACAUUAAGAGUCAAAUUCUGGGGCCCCAACUUACUGCCAUUGUCCCACUGUGGCAUAAAGAUACCAUUACACAAUGAUAACAACACCCAUUGAAAAUGACACAGUUGUACCGUUGACAAUGACACACAGGGAUGUUGACAGUCACCACGAUGACAAUAAUGCAGUGAGUGACAGUCACAUACAUUGACACCAACAAACGGGGCAAUGAUACCAGUUGACACUGACACAGUCACAGUGAUGGUAACCUCAGAAUCAAAGAUGCAAUGAGACUCAGUCACAUCGAGUCACACUGACGGUGACAUCAACACAGUGACACAGCAAUGUUGAUAGACUCAGUAACAGUCUCACAGAAUGAUACUAGUCCACAGCAAUACUGGCAGCCCUGAAGUCUGACAGCCGCCGUCGGUAACAAACAGACACAGCGACAGGCUCCAGGUCAGGAACCCCUGUUACCCAGUUUAAGAAUCUGGCUUAGGACCCAAGACCCAAGAACCGUCUUGCCAGUCCCAGCAAUGUUCCGGGUUGCCCUGUACCCCUCCCCUCACCCCAUGCCCAGCUGAGGGCAGAACCUGGGGGAAGGAGGUGUGAGUUUUGGAAAGCCUCUAUUUAUCCCUGCAGAAUUACAGCAGUUUAGAUUGUAGAAGGCCAACCCUGGGGAAGCCCUGCCGCCAUCAGGUCAGGGUGGGGGAUAAUGAGCACCACUAACUGCGUCUCAGCUGUAAUUGUGUGUGCGGGUUGAUCUGUAAUAGUGUGUUGCGCACUUCAGGGUUUGGGUUGCUGUGGGCACGCCGAGGCUCAGGUAGGCUCAGUCUGGCCUGGACAAUGAAGGAUCAGGGGGGCCUCAAGGCAAGUGACCUCGAAGCAAGGUUACUACUCCAACUCCGAGGCAGGGAACUGAAAUCCAAAGAAGGUCACCGGAUGGACUCCCCCCAUUGCCAGGCGUCAGGGUGGGUUCAGAACAUCCAUCUGAUGAAGGGCAUCCGGCCCAGCACAGAGCGGAGGGGACUCCCCACAGCUUCCAGUCCCCGCUCUGACUCCCACAGCCCAGACUCCAGAAUCCCACAGUGAGGGGAAAAGGCACCUUUUAUCCUGGAGCCUCAUCUCCUUCACCUCUCCCCACAGCAGCCUAGAGGGCCCAUCUCAGGAAUGAGGCAAGAAUGCAGGACACAGCAUGGACUCACUGAUUCAAACGCCUGGGGACUCUAGAAGCCUCAGACCUGCAGAGGAAUUAGGUUGGAGCAGAGAAACAGAGAUACAUAGACUUGGAGAUGGAGAAGGAAAUGAGAGACAGAGCGGGGGCAAAGACAGGGACAAGGACAUGGUGGGCAGGGAGGAACAGUACUGGCUGAGGGGGGAGCCUGGAAGAGAUAGUCAGGGCAGGCGGGAAGCUCCAGGACAGGGAGGAGGGGCUGAGGCUGGGAGGCCCCCAGAUCCCACCAGGCCUAGGCAGCCUGGACAGCGUGGGCGGUGGGGGCGGGGGCAGAGGCCUGAGCGGUCCAGAGGCUUGGGGGGUGGGGGGACCAGGCCGAGGAGGGAGGCCUGGCCCCUGGCAGCUGGCCCGGCAGGCCCCUCACCAGGGAAGGGCGGGCCUAGGUCAGGGGCCAGCUCGUGGGCUGGGGCCGGCUAGCCAUGGGCGGGCAGGUUCCCACUCCCUAUGGUGUUUCUCCCUCCUGUCUCCGAAUCUCUGAUCUCUAGCCCCUUCUCUUUUCCCUCCUCUCUGAAUCCAGACCUGCCUCUCCUCUCAGCUCUCUCAGUGACCCCACCUCAAGUGGCAUAGGGCUCCAAGCUGUGCCUGGGUUCAGGAUUCAAGCUUUACCUCCUCCUGGGCUACCAUGUCCCCACCCACGCCAAGGGCAAGCCUCAGUCCUCAGGGGAAAUGACCCUACCCAAGCUUAGGCCCUGUCCUCCUCCUUAGAAGGGGGCAGAAUAAGCCAAGCACCAGUAGGAAGGGGCCAGGAGGGAGGCAGGGGGAGUGGUCCCCCAGCUCUCGACGCUGGCUGAGGCUGUGGAAAAGGAGGCGGCCCAAUUGAGUGAGUUGGGGGGGUUGGUAUCCGCACCUGCUGUUGUGACCUCCACAGCCGGAGAUGGGGUCCUGGAGGGGACAAGAUUCCGAUGGAUUUUGGCAGCGGCCUGGACUCAGUGCUCAAAACCCCCAUUCCCAGCCUCUUGCACCGUGGGGACCCUGAGAUCAGCAUGUGCGUGCCCUGCUGCACGUGUGUGCGGGCGUGUUGUUGGGGGAGCCUGGGGCCCUCCCAUGAUGGGCCUGGCUGGGCAGCUGGGGAGGCAUCCUGGGGAGAGAGGAAUCUGUCACCAGCCUGUGCCCACAUGUGGAGGCCCACUUGGGGCCCCGCAUGCUGCCUGGUGACCUGGGCAUGGGCUUGUAUAUGCACAUACAUGCAGGCCUGUGCUUAAGUAGCCCUCUAGAUGCAGAAGGCCUGGGCUUUCACCCUCAAAAGUCAUCUGGUCCAGCCCCCUGCCUCUUGAAUGGAGAGGAGGAAGGGGCAGAUAAGUUCGUAUCCUCCCUUUGGACACAUAGGCUCUGGAGAGCUUCACAGAACCUGAGGUACUGGUGCCAAAUCCCCCAGCCCCCAACCCCAGUCCAGUCUCUUCUGGCUUCCAGAAGAAUCAGGAAGCCCCCUCCACCCAGGAAAGGCACACACACCAGUUAGGCUAAGUCUGUGGGGAGCGGGGUACUGCUCCUCUUGUAGGGACAGAACGCUGUAGCACAUUAGACAGCUGGAAGAACUCAACGAAAGGCAGGGGAUGGGCAGAGCAAUAGGGUUGACUGAGACUUCCCUUAGCAGGGGGGUGGGGUAAGGAAAGGCCCGAAGCGGACGCCGGGGACAGGAAGGAGGCUGCAAGGCAGGGCCCUCCGUGGAGACAAGGAUGGAUAGAAUGGCUUUCCAGAGUUGGAGAUUAGGACAAAGACCUAUUUGCCUCAGCAUCUCCUACCACACCCACCCCUGGCCCCAUCACUGCUAUGGUGCAGACACACCCUUGAAUCCAUACACAGAGGCCCAUGCAAGCAAGCUCACACACACACCCACCCACCCACCCACCCACACACACACACACCCCGGGGGGUGGGGGCAGCAGUGCAUGUGAUGCAUCGGCUUAUAACAAAAAAAACCUGAAGAUGGUCGUUCUGACAGAGCCAGAGUUGGGUGGGGGGAAAAGAAGCUUCAAAUGUCUUCUGUGUUCUGUUCUCUCUGCCCCCUAACGUGCAUAUGCACCAUGCACGCUACUUCUGAGGAGCCUCCUGGUCUGCUGGGCAAGACCGAGCCAUCCUUCCUCCCCUUUCCUCCCCUCCUCACAGUGGGGAAGCCACAGCAAUCUGUUCCUGAUGGGUAAACACAGGCGUGAGUACGUGCACACACGUGCUCACACACACACCAGCCACUCAGGCCACAGAGCACCCAGCGCUCACUUCACCCCGAGACAGAGCACACACUUGGGCUCUCACUACACCCGGCAGAGCUCUCAAAGCCCCCGCCUCCUCAGACACACAGGGCCAGAGCUUCACAGACACACCCAGGCAGCCUCUCGCAGACACUGGCAUUCAGAGCCUACCAUCGUGGCCACACAUCAGGGCCUCCCACAUGGACACCCACUCCCACAGCCCCGUACACGCUGGUGUGCGUGCACACAUUACAGUCACACUCACACACACAGACUCCCUCACACAGCCAUGGUCUCACAUAUGGAUACCAUCACACACUCCGAACAGUCAACCUUCCACACAGACACCAUUGUACACUUCCAGAAGCUCAGGGCCCCCAGUCGCCCUUGGCCUCUCACGCCCCGACACCGGCAAUGGGAAACACCCACAUACACACCCUGAACAGCCACACUGUGCCAGCACCUCAGGUUGCCUAGCCGUGCCUGAGGGGAGGGACAGAAAGCCUAGGGAUGCCUAGGGCAGGAAAGAAAAGGAAAGGAAAUACUUCGUUGGUCCCUAAAAAGUGAGAAAAUAAAUGAUUAUUCCCCAGGCAGCUCCUUCUUCCCCAAACCCUGCUUUCAACAGCAUUAGGGAAUGAAGGGAGAUCCAUUCCAGACAGGAGAGGUGAAGGAAGUACCUGGGGGAGACAGAUGGUGGCACUGGAAUCAGCAAGAGCCAGAAAGGCCCAGAAAUCAGCCGACUUCCCAGGCCCUUGCUGCCUUCCCUCAUCACCCUCUCUUCCCCACGAUGCGGAUCGGCAGCAGCUCUCAGCCUAGCUAUCUGCUGUGUGAUCCCAAGGCCUCUUCAAAACCUCUAUGUGCCCAUAACUGUCUAGCGGGCACCCAGAUGUCUGGCCUGGCUGCAGAAAGGGCAGGAGAAGGGAAGGAGAUGAGACCUCCACUCCAGCCCCCCAGCCCCCACCAAAGCCCUGGCAUCACUGUCAGCCCACAGAGAGGUAGGGCAGAUGCCCAGCAGCAGGAGGGGAGCAGGCAGAGCCAGCGGUGCUCCUCUAACUAACCACUGAGGAGGAGAGUCCUAAGGUGUCCUUGGACCCUGCAGCCCCGCCCCCAUCACUGGAGGAGUAGACGCGGAGUCGCUGUCCAGUCAGAAUGGAAUCCAGGCUGUGCUGGCCAGGCCCCAGCCCAGGAAAGAUCGGCAAUGCUGCAGACAUCCUUGCCACUUGCCACUCCAGGUGUAGCUGGGGCCCUGAUGCCUCCAUCCUAAAAGGAGCCUGACGUGACUCCACGGAAGACAGGCAGGACCUAAGGAAACCAGGCAGGGGUAAUGCCAUAAAGCCAGGUGAUAGGGACUUCGGGGAAGGGGGCAGUGGGGACAAAAGAAACCAGGCAGCAGGGUGUAAGGAAACCAGGUGACAGGGCCCCAAAGAAGGUAGGUGGUGGGAGCCAAAUGAAAUCAGGCAGUGGGGACUAAAGUUAGCUAGGAGGUGUGGACAAAUGAAGCCAGGCUUUGGGGAUCAAAUGAAACCAGGCAAGAGGCCCACAGGAUGUGAGAAAAGAAAGAUAUCAGGAGCUCAUCCCCUCUGUCUAGAUGUCACCCCCACACGCUGGGCCUCUCUCUCUGUAGCCCCCCUUCCACUCAGGCGGUGGUCCCCUCCCCCAGGCCAAUGGACACAGCCAGAGCCCCCUCCCCUCUCAGAGGCCUGGUCCGAUUGCAGCCAAUGGGCCCCGGCCCCAUCCCUGGGACCUCAGGAAGUCCCAGUCCCUCCCACCGGCUGCAGAGGCAGGGGGGCUGGGGGGAGAGACAGAGAAGAGAAAAG